Small nuclear RNA from Otolemur garnettii (small-eared galago), 107 nucleotides. The record is from Ensembl. NCBI's taxonomy places the organism in Eukaryota, Metazoa, Chordata, Mammalia, Primates, Galagidae.
GUGCUCGCUUCGGCAGCACAUAUACUAAAAUUGGAACAAUACGGAGAAGAUUAGCAUGGCCCCUGCGCCAGGAUGACACACAAAUUCGUGAAGCGUUGUAUAUUUUU